Molecule: long non-coding RNA, 410 nt
Organism: Lepisosteus oculatus (spotted gar)
Lineage: Eukaryota; Metazoa; Chordata; Actinopteri; Semionotiformes; Lepisosteidae
Source: RefSeq, a predicted model, not a curated record
AGCCCGCCCUGCCCACCCGGUUUUUUCGAAUGAGGUGGGUCCAACCGUCAAGCCUGAUACUAGGAGUGCAUGCGCAGUGGUAGGGCCGUGCAAUUACUUUUAUAUUGACAGGUCACAUGGUACAGGUGAUGGUCACAUCAUCCAGGUGGGGCUGCACAUUGGUGGAGGGGAGUCCCCAUUACCUGUAAAGCAUUUUGAGUGGAGUGUCCAGAAAAGCACUAUAUAAGUUAGACCAUCCUGUCCUGACUGAAGCAUCUCACCCCCCAGUUGUUUCUUGAAAGAAGCCAGGGUAUCAGCUUCAACAACAUGGCUGGGCAGCUUGUUCCACACUCCCACAACCCAAAUAAGAAGAUCUACCAGGUGCCAAGGGGAUGGUCUAUUGUGUUAAUAUUCCAGAACAAAACACAAAC